UACGUAGGUGGCAAGCGUUAUCCGGAUUUACUGGGUGUAAAGGGCGUGUAGGCGGGAGUGCAAGUCAGAUGUGAAAACCACGGGCUCAACCUGUGGCCUGCAUUUGAAACUGUACUUCUUGAGUACUGGAGAGGCAGACGGAAUUCCUAGUGUAGCGGUGAAAUGCGUAGAUAUCUGGAGGAACACCGGUGGCGAAGGCGGCCACCUGGACGACAACUGACGCUGAGGUGCGAAAGCGUGGGUAGCAAACAGG
Molecule: ribosomal RNA, 253 nt
Filed under: uncultured bacterium
Lineage: Bacteria
Description: partial 16S ribosomal RNA
Rfam family: Bacterial small subunit ribosomal RNA
Source: RNAcentral